Molecule: ribosomal RNA, 279 nt
Filed under: uncultured bacterium
Lineage: Bacteria
Description: partial 16S ribosomal RNA
Rfam family: Bacterial small subunit ribosomal RNA
Source: RNAcentral
UGCCAGCAGCCGCGGUAACACGGAGGGUGCAAGCGUUGUUCGGAAUUACUGGGCGUAAAGGGAGCGCAGGCGGGUUAGUAAGUCAGUGGUGAAAUCCUACAGCUUAACUGUAGAACUGCCAUUGAUACUGCUAAUCUUGAGCUAGGAAGAGAGAGACGGAAUUCCAGGUGUAGUGGUGAAAGACGGAGAUAUCUGGAAGAACACCCGUGGCGAAGGCGGUCUCUUGGUACUAUACUGACGCUGAGGCUCGACAGCGUGGGGAGCAAACAGGAUUCGAUA